Molecule: long non-coding RNA, 1229 nt
Organism: Electrophorus electricus (electric eel)
Lineage: Eukaryota; Metazoa; Chordata; Actinopteri; Gymnotiformes; Gymnotidae
Source: Ensembl
CUCACACUAAAGCAUUCCCAACUUGAAGAAAACAUUUCUCGCCUUAAGAGGGAAAAGCUGGACAUUGAGCUAUUGCUGUCAGAAGAGAGGCUUUCUUUUGAAAAGGAAACUUUGCGAAUGGAAAGACAAAUUUCAGAUCUCCAAGAGGCAGUGAACAGCAUACGAGCAGAAAGGGAGGCUCAGGAGGAAGUAUCGAGGGAAAACCAGCAAAUUCUUACUGCCCGAAUUUCAUCUUUAGAAAAUGAUCUGGCUCAUCUCCAACAGCUGGAAGUCCAGCUCACGGCAGAAAUUGCUAUCUCUGCAGAACUCCGAAAGCAGCGAGAGAAACUGGAGGCACAGGUAGCAUCUUUAGAGGACUUGGUCAAUGGGCUACAAAUCAAAUGCCAAGGAAUGGGGUCAGAGAAUGAGGCACAACAAGAGGCUCUCACUGCUGUCAGGGCUGACCUGCGGAUUGCCCAAGUCUCACUUGUGGAAUAUGAAAUGAAGUUGGCAGACCAUCAAAAAGUGGUAGAAGAGAACUCCUCUCUCCAUACCAGAAUUUCUGCACUGGAUGACACCAUUGUCCUUUUUCAAAAUGAAGUUGAGAGAGAGAGAAAAAGAGGUGAGGAAGUUCUUGUUGCAAAGGAUCAGCAUACAGCUCUGUUGGAAGAAAGGUUUCAAGAACAGGAGAAAAAGGCUCAUGAAAUGUUUGCAGAACUGGAGACACUGAGUCAGGAACUCCGUAAAAUGAAGCAACAGAAGCACCAUGCUGAAACAUGUAUGGAGAAGUUUGCCCAGGAAGGAAGAGCGCUAGCAGCCAGUCUCUCAGAGCAGCAAGAGCUUGCCCAGUCACAACUGGAGCUAGUAAAGAAAGCCAAAGAUGAAUCUGAGGAGGAACUUCAACGUAUCAUUACAGAGCAUCAGACCAAGAUAUCGGAGUUGCAUUGUGAGAUUAAGGGAAACAUUGAGUCACUAAUGCAAAGGGAGUGUGAACUGUGUGUCUUGAAAGAAAAAGCAUCUUCCAAGGAUAAAGAACUUGUAGACCAGCAGCAGAAACUAGCCCACCUUCAAUGUGAGGCAGAAAAUCUUCAAAAGCAGUUGGUGGAACAAGAAGGCCAUUCUCAGCAGCUGAGUCAGAUUGUGGUUUCCAAAGACAUGGAAAUUCAACAACUGAAGGCAGAUCUUAAGAUGAAGGAAGGGGAGAUCCAGUCCCUGAAGGCCAGCAUUCAGUCCAUUCAAGCAAAGUCCAG